Molecule: transfer RNA, 67 nt
Filed under: Marmota monax (woodchuck)
Lineage: Eukaryota; Metazoa; Chordata; Mammalia; Rodentia; Sciuridae
Description: tRNA.Ala
Source: RNAcentral
GGUUGUGGCCCAGUGGUAGAGCGCUUGCCUAGCAUGCGUGAGGCACGGGGUUUGAUCCCCAGCACCA